GUAGGGAAUAUUGGGCAAUGGAUGCAAGUCUGACCCAGCCAUCCCGCGUGCCGGAAGAAGGCCCUCAGGGUUGUAAACGGCUUUUGACGGUGAAGAAUCGACAGGAUGCGUCCUGUUUUGACGGUAGCCGUUGAAUAAGCACCGGCUAACUCCGUGCCAGCAGCCGCGGUAAUACGGAGGGUGCGAGCGUUGUCCGGAUUUAUUGGGUUUAAAGGGUGCGUAGGCUGGAAGGUCAGUCAGCGGUGAAAAGCUGUCGCUUCACGAUAGUCUUGCCGCAGAUACUUCCUUUCUUGGAUGAGGAGGAGUCCACUGGAACGGAUGGUGUAGCGGUGAAAUGCAUAGAUAUCAUCCAGAACACCGAUUGCGAAGGCAGGUGGCUGUACCUUAAUCGACGCUGAUGCACGAAAGCAUGGGGAGCAAACAGGAUUAGAAACCCGGGUAGUCC
RNAcentral lists this ribosomal RNA (445 nucleotides) under uncultured bacterium. Its description in RNAcentral is "partial 16S ribosomal RNA". It matches the Rfam family "Bacterial small subunit ribosomal RNA", at positions 354 to 796 of the family's 1533-position model. The record is from RNAcentral.